RNAcentral lists this ribosomal RNA (1031 nucleotides) under Synergistaceae bacterium. Its description in RNAcentral is "partial 23S ribosomal RNA". It matches the Rfam family "Bacterial large subunit ribosomal RNA", at positions 1900 to 2925 of the family's 2925-position model. The record is from RNAcentral. Lineage: Bacteria; Thermotogati; Synergistota; Synergistia; Synergistales; Synergistaceae.
CGAAGCUUUGAGAUGAAGCCCCAGUAAACGGCGGCCGUAACUAUAACGGUCCUAAGGUAGCGAAAUUCCUUGUCGGGUAAGUUCCGACCUGCACGAAUGGUGUAACGAUCUGUGCGCUGUCUCGACGGUAAGCCCGGUGAAAUUGUGGUCCUGGUAAAGACGCCAGGUACCUGUGGUGGGACGGAAAGACCCCAUGGAGCUUUACUGUAACUUGGUAUUGGAUUUUGUCAUGUAAUGCACAGGAUAGGUGGGAGGCAUAGAGUCCGAGACUUUGGUAUCGGAGGAGCCGACGUUGGGAUACCACCCUUUAUAUGAUGGAAUUCUAACCGCGAUUGUUGAAACACAAAGCGGGACAUUGCCAGGCGGGCAGUUUGACUGGGGCGGUCGCCUCCCAAAGAGUAACGGAGGCGCGCAAAGGUCACCUCGGCGCGAAUGGAAAUCGCGCGAAGAGAGCGUAAGCGUAUAAGGUGGCUUGACUGUGAGACGGACGAGUCGAACAGGAACGAAAGUUGGUGCUAGUGAUCCGGUGGUGCCGAAUGGAAGGGCCAUCGCUCAACGGAUAAAAGCUACCCUGGGGAUAACAGGCUGAUCUCGCCCGAGAGUUCCUAUCGACGGCGUGGUUUGGCACCUCGAUGUCGGCUCAUCGCAUCCUGGGGCUGAAGCAGGUCCCAAGGGUUGGUCUGUUCGCCCAUUAAAGCGGUACGUGAGCUGGGUUUAGAACGUCGUGAGACAGUUCGGUCCCUAUCCACCAUGGGCGUAAGGUAUUUGAGGAGAGCUGUUCCUAGUACGAGAGGACCGGAAUGGACGAACCGCUGGUGAACCGGUUGUGGCGCCAGCCGCAUAAGCCGGGUAGCUAUGUUCGGAAAGGAUAACCGCUGAAAGCAUCUAAGUGGGAAGCCAACUUCAAGAUGAGAUACCUUAUUCCGUAAAGGAAGUAAGAUGUCCGGCAGACGACCGGAUAGAUAGGCCGGGGGUGUAAGCGUUGAGAGGCGUUGAGCUGACCGGUACUAAUACAUCGAGGCUUUUUUCUC